GUGCUUUAUAAAUGUGAUUCUGAUGUUCCCUUUUGAUACUAAUUCACAUUAAUUGCCUCAGAUGAUACUGAUACCCAAACAGAAAUCUGGCAGAAGAAUCCCGACUGGCAGUCCUGAUAACGUGCCUGUGUGGAGGCGGCAGUAAUGGGGUCAGGCUCUCUGAACAGCCUAUGAAGGAUCCAGGGAGGUGGGUGUGAGGCGCUUAUUAAACCAGAGUGAGGCCAGCUCUGGGACGUUGUGGCUAACUUGGGACACAAGAGAUAAGGGUAGGGACCUGAGGCACCAGAAAAAUCAGAUGAGGCGUGGCCACGAGAUAUGGGUAGCAGAAUACAAAGGAGCAAAACAAAGUCAGGUGAAAUGAGAGUUGGGAAUGGAAGAGAGAAGGGAAAGUGGCUCAGGAGAGUCACAAGCACCUCUUCGGCAAAGCCCACCUCCCUCUCUCGCUUGAUUCCCCGGCCAUCCUUAUCAAAGACCUUCCAGGUGAACAGGCAGCCAUCCUCAGCAGCAGUCAGCAGGAACUGAUCAUCAAAGCCAGUAGACAAGAUUUGACUCUGGAGGUGACGUCUGAGCCAAUAGGUAUUUGGAGUCUGGAGAAAAAGCCAUGCUAAUAAAU
RNAcentral lists this long non-coding RNA (613 nucleotides) under Homo sapiens (human). RNAcentral describes it as "HSALNT0291821". The record is from RNAcentral. Lineage: Eukaryota; Metazoa; Chordata; Mammalia; Primates; Hominidae.